AUUGAACGCUGGCGGCAGGCUUAACACAUGCAAGUCGAGCGGGGUGAUGGUGCUUGCACUAUCACUUAGCGGCAGACGGGUGAGAAAUGCUUAGGAAUCUGCCUAUUAGUGGGGGACAACAUCUCGAAAGGGAUGCUAAUACCGCAUACGUCCUACGGGAGAAAGCAGGGGAUCACCUGUGACCUUGCGCUAAUAGAUGAGCCUAAGUCGGAUUAGCUAGUUGGUGGGGUAAAGGCCGACCAAGGCGACGAUCUGUAGCGGGUCUGAGAGGAUGAUCCGCCACACUGGGACUGAGACACGGCCCAGACUCCUACGGGAGGCAGCAGUGGGGAAUAUUGGACAAUGGGGGGAACCCUGAUCCAGCCAUGCCGCGUGUGUGAAGAAGGCCUUAUGGUUGUAAAGCACUUUAAGCGAGGAGGAGGCUCUUUUGGUUAAUACCCAAGAUGAGUGGACGUUACUCGCAGAAUAAGCACCGGCUAACUCUGUGCCAGCAGCCGCAGUAA
This 503-nucleotide ribosomal RNA is filed under the name uncultured bacterium. RNAcentral describes it as "partial 16S ribosomal RNA". It matches the Rfam family "Bacterial small subunit ribosomal RNA", at positions 30 to 523 of the family's 1533-position model. The record is from RNAcentral.